ACUUAAAUACACUGAAAAUGUUUUGUGUUUUUUCUUGCAAUGUCAAUUUAAAAGGUAAGAUACUCAUUUCACAGCUUUUGUUGGCAGCUGUGAGAGGGCUUUCCUAUUCCUCAGAAGGGGGUUUGUAUCCUGCCAGCAUCUUUAAGGAGUGUGGCAGGAGAGCCAGGUGUGCUGUAGGACAUGGAGAAGCUAAUAAAUGUGGGCUGUUGCACAAAGGUUACAAAUAGGCUGCAGGGGGGCUGAGAAACAGCAGGUUUCAUGUGCUCUAAUCCUAGCUGGGCUAUGAGGAGGAGAAAGUCAUCACUGGUCACCUCUUCACAUUACUGGAUAAAAGCCAAGAUGGUAUUUACUGGGGGUAGCAGCUGGAGAUGAGGCUGGGAGGGUUGCAGCUUGAAAUCAGAUUGCUGUGCUGCUCCCCCUUGCCCAGAGGAGCACUGAGCAUAAUCAGGUGCUUGUUAGUGGGAUUAUCUCCUCUGAGGUGUCAGAGCAGUUGAAACAGCUGAUUGGUUGGAGGAGUGGGUCCUCCUGCCUAAGGAUGGACUAAACCUACUGGUGUCCCCAGAGAAGCUGCCAUUCAGCAGAUGAGUAUUGGUCUGGGGCUAUACUGGCACUUUACAGCAUGGAGAGGGCUUUAUCUAAAUGAAAAUGUACUUCUUAAAACCACGCUGAAGGAAAAUAAUUGCUUUGAUCACUUGGUAAAUAUCUGAAGUUGCGAGAACUUAAUCUAGGUGGAGUAAGUCCUAAAGGAUCCUGUUUGUAUGCUGCCUGACCUGGUGUUUAGAGAUCUCCAGACCUGAGGACUGCUUCCACUCUGCCCUGGGAAAGGCUUCUGUAAGCAGUGUUCUAUCACAGGACAUGGAUUCACCUGUCAGCAUCAUGUUUAGGAGGGAUUACUUUGUCGCUGCAUUGGCACUGCUGGAGGAGCUGUGCUCCUCAUCAGCACAUCUGCCUGUGGGAAAGGGAGUGCUCUGUUCCUCCACUGUAAGCAGAUUAAUGUACUUGGUUUAACAACCUGCUUGCGAUUGAACUAUUAAUAUUUUUUGUUUCCUACUGUUAGUUUUUCAGUUUGGAUGCACUUUUAUCAGCAAAGCCCGGGUGUUGUGCAGAAGCAUUCAGGAGGAAUAUAAGCAAGGUCAUGAGGUCUUUGAGUGUGCCUUUAGAGGAAUUAAAGCUGAACUGAGCCCCGUAAGAGGAAAGCAAAGUUGAGAAUGUGUAUAAUUCAGCACGCUUUUCCAAGAACAAGAUCUUCUGAACAGCAGACAACAAAAGCUACAGAAGUAGCUACGUUGCUCUGCAGGGAGGAUGUGACACUGCUGUUUUCUCAUUGUGCAAAGCAAACAAUGACUGCUGCAUAUCAGGCCCUCUGGUGCAGCCCCAUUGUUUGCUGCUAUUCUUGGUGUCCCUCAACCACCUCUGCCCGGUACAGGGAGCUCAGCUUCGUCCUCUGGCUGGGUCUCUUUACAUAGAAAGCCCUGCAGCUGAUAAGGGCAGCUUUGUCUCUGCCUGUUACCAUAGGGUACGUUAGUCUGUGAGAAAAAGUUUGGAUUUUUCAGUGCAGAGGUUCUCAUGGGCUGGGAUUUUGGAAGCCAUUGUAGCCAUCUUUGUAUAAGAUAUAUGUUGCUGCCUAUAGCUGGCUCUCCUCAUCUGAUGUCAUGGGAGCAUUGCAAUGUUUUGACCAUUUUUCUUUAUUAAUUAAUUGAAGAGAUGUAUCUUCUAAAGUA
Molecule: non-coding RNA, 1721 nt
Organism: Coturnix japonica (Japanese quail)
Lineage: Eukaryota; Metazoa; Chordata; Aves; Galliformes; Phasianidae
Source: RefSeq, a predicted model, not a curated record